Pan troglodytes (chimpanzee) is the source of this 385-nucleotide long non-coding RNA. RefSeq lists it as uncharacterized. The transcript is spliced from 3 exons. The record is from RefSeq and is a predicted model, not a curated record. NCBI's taxonomy places the organism in Eukaryota, Metazoa, Chordata, Mammalia, Primates, Hominidae.
GCUGGCUGGAGGAAUUUUGGAAGGGGUGAGGCAUACACUUUCUUCUAUGUUCCUGAAACCACAACAUUGUUAGGACUCAUCUGUUCAUGAGACCAGACCAAUAGAAAAUGAGCACUCCGUGGAUAAAAAAUACAGAUGGAAACUUAGUGAGACGGAGUUUUACCAUGUUGCCCAGUCUGGUCUCGAACUCCUGAGCUCAAGCAGUCCACCUGCCUUUGCCUCCCAAAGUGCUGGUAUUACAGGAUGCACUACCAGCGUGUAAUGCAGAAGUUGCAUACAAUGAAGAUAUCUCAUUCCAUCACCUCGUGGCAUAAAUCAAUAUAGUCAGAGCAACAAAGAAUGACUAUUUCCAUAAAAAUGACAUUAAACUAUUUGUGUGCUUGUA